UUAUAAGUUCAAUCUUGACUUUACACUAGCUCUAGUGUUCUUUACAUCACUUUAUGUUGCAAACUCAUGCAAUCACAUUCUUUACAUUUUCAUUACUCUUGCUAACUCUAGCAUUCUCGUUCUUUACUUAUUGCCCCACUUUACUUUAACUUUACACGUUGUCACUUUCUUCAUUCUUUACAUCACUCUAGUUCUUUACAUCACACUAACUCUAGUGUCAUUUCACAUUA
RNAcentral lists this long non-coding RNA (230 nucleotides) under Ananas comosus (pineapple). RNAcentral's name for it is "long non-coding RNA (ACOM_LNC036237)". Lineage: Eukaryota; Viridiplantae; Streptophyta; Magnoliopsida; Poales; Bromeliaceae. The record is from RNAcentral.